Pan troglodytes (chimpanzee) is the source of this 408-nucleotide long non-coding RNA. RefSeq lists it as uncharacterized. NCBI's taxonomy places the organism in Eukaryota, Metazoa, Chordata, Mammalia, Primates, Hominidae. The transcript is spliced from 2 exons. The record is from RefSeq and is a predicted model, not a curated record.
CCGCAAGACCUGAGACCUGACGGAUAAAAGCAGAGAGGAGUCAGAGUGAGCGCUGCGUUUGGGAAACUGCAUUCCAGGGCAGCAAGACUGGUGCCAAGACGGAAUCGUGGCAAAAGCCUCCAGAGGUCUUCCUUAAUAUAUGUCAGCCGUGGAGUGGUGUACUUAAGGAGAGAGAGACUUGGAAAAAUACAGACCGAGAACAAGGCCAUGUGGAGAUAGAGGCAGAGACUGAAGUUGUGCCACCAAAGGCAAAGAAUAUCAAGUAUCGUCAGUAACCACAGGAAGCUGGAAGAGGCCAGGAAAGGUUUUUCUUAGAGACGUUGGAAGGAGCCUGACCCUGGAACACCUUGAUUUUAGACUUCUGACCCCCAAAAUUGUGAAAGAAUAAAUUUCUGUUGUUUUAAGCAA